UACGUAGGGGGCGAGCGUUGUCCGGAAUUAUUGGGCGUAAAGAGCUCGUAGGCGGUUUGUCGCGUCGGCCGUGAAAACUUGGGGCUUAACCCCGAGCCUGCGGUCGAUACGGGCAGACUUGAGUUCGGCAGGGGAGACUGGAAUUCCUGGUGUAGCGGUGAAAUGCGCAGAUAUCAGGAGGAACACCGGUGGCGAAGGCGGGUCUCUGGGCCGAUACUGACGCUGAGGAGCGAAAGCGUGGGGAGCGAACAGG
RNAcentral lists this ribosomal RNA (253 nucleotides) under uncultured bacterium. RNAcentral describes it as "partial 16S ribosomal RNA". It matches the Rfam family "Bacterial small subunit ribosomal RNA", at positions 524 to 776 of the family's 1533-position model. The record is from RNAcentral.